AGAGCAGGCCGUUCUAUCGCUCUCCAGCAAAGGCUGGGGGGAGGAAAGUCCGGGCAACACAGGGCGCCGGGCUUCCUAACGGGAAGAUAUCCGUGAGGGUAUAGUCAUGGAACAGAAAAUAACCGUCCCGCUUCUUGCGGGAUAAGGGUGAAAAGGUGAGGUAAGAGCUCACCGGUGUUCCGGGUGACCGGAGCAGCCGUCCAUCUCCCGGGUUGAAAGACCACGUAUACCGGCAACUGAGGGUGGCCCGCCCGAUGCCGGGGGGUAGGUCGUUCGAUCCCGCAAGCAAUUGCGGGACAAGAUAAAUGAUAGAAAGACAGCCAGCCGUCUCGCGAAGACACUGCGGCUGUUUACAGAAUCCGGCUUACAGGUCUGCUCUCUUU
This 383-nucleotide RNase P RNA is filed under the name Bacteroidales bacterium. RNAcentral's name for it is "RNase P RNA component class A". It matches the Rfam family "Bacterial RNase P class A". Rfam says of the family: Ribonuclease P (RNase P) is a ubiquitous endoribonuclease, found in archaea, bacteria and eukarya as well as chloroplasts and mitochondria. Lineage: Bacteria; Pseudomonadati; Bacteroidota; Bacteroidia; Bacteroidales. The record is from RNAcentral.